This 83-nucleotide transfer RNA is filed under the name Cellulomonas biazotea. RNAcentral's name for it is "tRNA-Cys". The record is from RNAcentral. Lineage: Bacteria; Bacillati; Actinomycetota; Actinomycetes; Micrococcales; Cellulomonadaceae.
CGGCGCCCGGCGACCCGGGCCACCGUCGGUUCGCCUACAACGUGGACGGCGCGGGCGUGCCGUUCGACGCGGUCGUCGUCGUC